Molecule: small nucleolar RNA, 104 nt
Organism: Arachis duranensis
Lineage: Eukaryota; Viridiplantae; Streptophyta; Magnoliopsida; Fabales; Fabaceae
Source: RefSeq, a predicted model, not a curated record
AUGUGGUGAGGGCAUGAGUCAAAAAGUUUCUGAAAACAUUCCCAAUACUCAUAGAGAGUCUCCAAUUCUUCUUGGACAAUGCAUGAAAUUUCCUUCCUUAACCU